Molecule: ribosomal RNA, 1347 nt
Filed under: uncultured bacterium
Lineage: Bacteria
Description: bacterial SSU rRNA
Rfam family: Bacterial small subunit ribosomal RNA
Source: RNAcentral
GACGAACGCUGGCGGCGUGCUUAACACAUGCAAGUCGAACGGAAAGGCCCUGCUUUUGUGGGGUGCUCGAGUGGCGAACGGGUGAGUAACACGUGAGUAACCUGCCCUUGACUUUGGGAUAACUUCAGGAAACUGGGGCUAAUACCGGAUAGGAGCUCCUGCUGCAUGGUGGGGGUUGGAAAGUUUCGGCGGUUGGGGAUGGACUCGCGGCUUAUCAGCUUGUUGGUGGGGUAGUGGCUUACCAAGGCUUUGACGGGUAUCCGGCCUGAGAGGGUGACCGGCCACAUUGGGACUGAGAUACGGCCCAGACUCCUACGGGAGGCAGCAGUGGGGAAUAUUGCACAAUGGGCGGAAGCCUGAUGCAGCAACGCCGCGUGCGGGAUGACGGCCUUCGGGUUGUAAACCGCUUUCGCCUGUGACGAAGCGUGAGUGACGGUAAUGGGUAAAGAAGCACCGGCUAACUACGUGCCAGCAGCCGCGGUGAUACGUAGGGUGCGAGCGUUGUCCGGAUUUAUUGGGCGUAAAGGGCUCGUAGGUGGUUGAUCGCGUCGGAAGUGUAAUCUUGGGGCUUAACCCUGAGCGUGCUUUCGAUACGGGUUGACUUGAGGAAGGUAGGGGAAAAUGGAAUUCCUGGUGGAGCGGUGGAAUGCGCAGAUAUCAGGAGGAACACCAGUGGCGAAGGCGGUUCUCUGGGCCUUUCCCUGACGCUGAGGAGCGAAAGCGUGGGGAGCGAACAGGCUUAGAUACCCUGGUAGUCCACGCUGUAAACGGUGGGUACUAGGUGUGGGGUCCAUUCCACGGGUUCCGUGCCGUAGCUAACGCUUUAAGUACCCCGCCUGGGGAGUACGGCCGCAAGGCUAAAACUCAAAGGAAUUGACGGGGCCCCGCACAAGCGGCGGAGCAUGCGGAUUAAUUCGAUGCAACGCGUAGAACCUUACCUGGGUUUGACAUGGAUCGGGAGUGCUCAGAGAUGGGUGUGCCUCUUUUGGGGUCGGUUCACAGGUGGUGCAUGCCUGUCGUCAGCUCGUGUCGUGAGAUGUUGGGUUAAGUCCCGCAACGAGCGCAACCCUUGUUCACUGUUGCCAGCACGUUAUGGUGGGGACUCAGUGGAGACCGCCGGGGUCAACUCGGAGGAAGGUGGGGAUGACGUCAAGUCCUCAUGCCCCUUAUGUCCAGGGCUUCACGCAUGCUACAAUGGCUGGUACAGAGAGUGGCGAGCCUGUGAGGGUGAGCGAAUCUCGGAAAGCCGGUCUCAGUUCGGAUUGGGGUCUGCAACUCGACCUCAUGAAGUCGGAGUCGCUAGUAAUCGCAGAUCAGCAACGCUGCGGUGAAUAAAGUCCCGGGGCU